Diospyros lotus (date-plum) is the source of this 1717-nucleotide long non-coding RNA. RefSeq lists it as uncharacterized. NCBI's taxonomy places the organism in Eukaryota, Viridiplantae, Streptophyta, Magnoliopsida, Ericales, Ebenaceae. The transcript is spliced from 3 exons. The record is from RefSeq and is a predicted model, not a curated record.
UGGGGGCAGGCAAAACACUUGCAAACCUUAGCGCUGCCUUUAUUUCUUUUUGAUCGCCUGUUGCUCUCUCUUUCUUAUCUGCAUCUUUGUCUCCUUUUUUUCUUCGACCAAUAGCUGUUAGCCAUCAACUCACCUUCUCUUUCUCUCGUUCAACAAUCUCUUCUCUCUCUUUCGGCCAACUGACUAUCUUCCCAUUAAGGUAAAAACUUCUAGCUCCACCACUGGCCACCUUUGCUCCACCACUCUCACCGCCAUUGCUCCACUGCGUUCUUGUGCUUUUGCCACGCAUGGAAGAAGCCAACGCCAUCGUUUCUAAGGCUCAAAGCUUUUGUUCGUUAACUUCAUAGCUACCAAUGUCUCUAAAAUUCCAACAGCGGUAUCAGAGCAUUCAAUGAUCUUAAGGGGCCUGUGAGAGAAAACCCAUCAACGCCUUCUUUAUUUCUAUGGCUUCCACCGACACAUCAUCUCUUUCGCCACCAGUUUUUGAUGGAGAAAAUUAUCAAGUAUGGGCUAUCAAAAUGAAAGCUCAUUUGAGAGGACUCAGUUUAUGGCAGUGGGUCGAAAGUGAAAGGGAGAUACCUUCGCUUGGCAACAAUCCUACGCUCCAUCAAACCAGAGCUCAUGAAGAAGCAGAAGCUAAAGCUAAAGCUCUGAGGGCUUUAUCUCAAUUACACGUUGUUGUCUCCGAAUCAAUUUUCUCAAUAAUCAUGGCUUGUGAAACGGCUAAGGAAGCAUGGGAUGUAUUGAAAGAGCUAUAUCAAGAGAAUGCUAGAACGAAAAGAAUACAAGUGUUGAAUCUCAAAAGAAAUUUAGAGAUUCGUAGAAUGAAUAAAAAGGAUACAAUCCAAGAGUUCUCUGAAAAACUAAUGACGGUGGUAAAUAAAAUUAGACUUAUGGGAGAAGAGCUACCUGACAACAGGAUCGUAGAGAAAGUCUUGAUAAGCCUACCUAAGAGGUUUGAGGCAAAAAUCUCGUCCCUUGAAGAUUCAAGAGACAUUAGCCAAAUUACAUUGGCAGAAUUAAUUGGAGCCUUGCAAGCUUAGGAGCAAAGAAGGAUUAUGAGAAAUAAAAAAAGUGAAAAGACGAUGGAGGGAGCUUAUCUUGCCAAGAGUUCAUUGUCAAAGAAGAAAGGAAAAAUUCCAGAAUGUGACCAUUGCAAAAAGCCUGGUCAUGAAGAGAAAGAUUGUUGGCACAAGGGGAAGCCUCAAUGCUUCAAGUGUAAAAGAUUUGGGCAUUUGAAAAAGGAUUGUAGAUUUAAUAUGAAAGAACAAGCAAAUUCAGUGAAGGCGGUUGAAGGGGCAAUUGAAGAGGAAAUGCUCUUCUAGUUUGUGAGAAGUGCACCAAGAAGAAUUUUUUGGAGAAAAAUGCUCCAUGAAACUGAAUUAAGUUUUUUUUUCAACAUUUGAAGGAAGUAUUGAUUGUGAUGAGAAGUGCAUCAAGAAGUGAAGAGAAGUGCUACACAAUUGGGAAGAAAUUUGGAGAGAAGUGCUCUAUAAAAAGUUGAAGUUUUGCAACUUUGAAUCAAGGAGGAAUGUUGAAUGUUGAAUAUUGAUUCAAAGUUACUGAUUUAGUAGGUUGAGAUAAUUUCGUUGUUUUUAAAUUUAAGUCUAGCAAUAAAUCUUAUUUUCUUGUUAUUCAGUUGACAUGUAUUGUCUAUUUAAAGGCAUGAUGAUGUGAAUAAAAAUAAUGAGGUUACAGUCUUCACAUUUAUGUUUUU